RNAcentral lists this unclassified non-coding RNA (364 nucleotides) under Hevea brasiliensis (rubber tree). Lineage: Eukaryota; Viridiplantae; Streptophyta; Magnoliopsida; Malpighiales; Euphorbiaceae. The record is from RNAcentral.
CUCAUCCUGGGUUGGUUUUGCUGACUGAGAUGCUGAAUAACCACGCCUUAACUUAAUUCCAUUUCCACUUAAGCUAAUGAUACUAGAAAAACUAGAAGCAUCAACAUUAAGCCACGCCUCCCAAGUAUUGUCUUCUCCUGUGAAAAGCGCAUGAAGUCCAUAAUUACUCACUGAAGUAGACCCUUGCAAAUCAAUACGUGCCGCAAAAAGCCCUGUCGGUUGAAAUGUCCUCCUAUGCCAAACCUGACGGCGAUAUGCAAUCUCUAAUUGUUCUGCAAUAUCUUCACGAAGAGGCAGCCAAUCAAGGCUCCCCUUAUGAGCAAACCAAUGACCCCUUAACACACGCCGAUUUUCUCCAUUCCAA